This 463-nucleotide ribosomal RNA is filed under the name uncultured bacterium. RNAcentral describes it as "bacterial SSU rRNA". It matches the Rfam family "Bacterial small subunit ribosomal RNA", at positions 338 to 793 of the family's 1533-position model. The record is from RNAcentral.
CCUACGGGAGGCAGCAGUGGGGAAUUUUGGACAAUGGGCGCAAGCCUGAUCCAGCAAUGCCGCGUGCAGGAAGAAGGCCUUCGGGUUGUAAACUGCUUUUGUCCGGAACGAAACGGUCCUGGCUAAUACCUGGGGCUGAUGACGGUACCGUAAGAAUAAGCACCGGCUAACUACGUGCCAGCAGCCGCGGUAAUACGUAGGGUGCGAGCGUUAAUCGGAAUUACUGGGCGUAAAGCGUGCGCAGGCGGUUUUGUAAGACAGGUGUGAAAUCCCCGGGCUCAACCUGGGAACUGCACUUGUGACUGCAAGGCUAGAGUGCGGCAGAGGGGGAUGGAAUUCCGCGUGUAGCAGUGAAAUGCGUAGAUAUGCGGAGGAACACCGAUGGCGAAGGCAAUCCCCUGGGCCUGUACUGACGCUCAUGCACGAAAGCGUGGGGAGCAAACAGGAUUAGAUACCCUGGUAG